Long non-coding RNA from Vicia villosa (hairy vetch), 1084 nucleotides. RefSeq lists it as uncharacterized. NCBI's taxonomy places the organism in Eukaryota, Viridiplantae, Streptophyta, Magnoliopsida, Fabales, Fabaceae. The record is from RefSeq and is a predicted model, not a curated record. The transcript is spliced from 5 exons.
ACUUGUUAUAUUGAAACUAAUUGUUUGAUCUUGUUUGUGUUACCAUUGGCAAAAAAACGAUGGAUUUACGUUUAAAAAAUUAUGGUGUAACCAAACUACAACUUUAUCACUAUCAAUGUUGUAGAGUAUCAUCUGUCCCAACACUGUUUAUUUUGCUCAUAACACUUAUCACAUUUCUGCUCCAAACUGAAUCAGUUUUGUUCUCCUAUCACUUCUCACUUGCCUUGUCCCUCCAAACCCUAAACCCUGUUCACAAAGAACCUCCAUUUGCCGUAAAACUCAUUUGCAUCUUCAAUUUCUCUGUUUGCUCCGUUUACCUCCGAAUCAUCAUGGCAAGACCUAAAAAACCUGCUUUAUGGCUUCAUAUUUGUGUGUUGAAUCUGUUGGAAAUGUUCCAUUAAAAUCGUUAUAUUUGUGCUUUGUAUGUGUGCAUCUUUUUGUCUCUCUCUUUCUCUUCUUCCUCACUUCUCAUCUCUCUCUUUCUCUUCUUCCUCACUUCCCUUUUCUGGGCUGCCAUUAAUGUCGGUGAUUUUGUUGAGAGUGGUUUGAAGGACAUGGCUUUAGGUCUUCAAAAUUGCGGUGUUGCAGAACAGAAUCAGUGUUUGGGUCAAUCAAAAUUUCGGUGUUGCAAAACAUAAUCAAUUUUCGAUUUAGAUCCUCUUAUGUCUUUUAAGUAAGUUAAUAUCUUGCUUUGCUUCUGGAAGGAGGCAUUUGAAUGGGAUCUUGGAAGCACAAGGAUAAGAAUGUUUAACUCACAAAAAUACGAAUAGGUUGGAAUUGCAGUAACAUUCUUUCCAAUGCCCGUGAACGGAUGAGUAGCAAUGAGUUUCGCUUCUCCAAAUCGCGUUUAUUGAAUGUUCGAAGGAGUUUAAUUUAAGGACUUUAUUCUUCCAUUUAAAUUUGUUGAUCCUACAACAUCGACCACCUUUUGUUCUUUGGUUAAACAAUUAAGAUGCUUCAAUCUUGGUUUCAAUGGUGAGAACUCUCAAGAAUGUGAUUAAUGUCUGAACUGUCAUCUAUCGAAGAAUGUGACUAAUAUCUGAACCGUAAUUGGAGAUUAAUAUGUAUUGUUAAUGAUAUUUUG